CUUCCCCACGGGCAGCUGCCUUGAUGGCCCAGCUCUUAAUCUGGCUUUGGCUGCUCCAACUGUUCACAAGUAUUUAAUGCUCCCAACAAUGCUAAGAAAAUAAGUCAUAUUAUUAUACCCAUUUUACAGAUGAAGAAAAUGAGACUUAGAUUAAGCAACUUGCCCGAGGACAAACCGACCGGAAAGCAAAGGAGCCAUGGUUAGACCAGAACUUCCAAGCCUGUGUUCUUAUGUACGUCGUUGUCUACUGACUCCUCUAGAAAAGAAAAAUCCCAAAGGAAAUGAAAUUAAGCUGUUUCCCAGAUUCGCUUUUCAAAAUUAGUCCUGGGCUGGCCUUCAAUACUGCAAACACAUUCUGUGUGGCCACAAGGGAGGACUGCAUAGAAUUCUUGGACCAACUACGAAGCUUUGGGGGCCUGACAAGCUGAGAAAGUGCGAGAAAAAAUGACACAGCAGUCUAGCUGUGACAACUUCAUGAUGAAGAAUGUUCGCUUUCUCAGUUCGUAACAGCGGCUAUUCUACAAGCAAAUUUUGAAAGACCCUCUCAUCAAAUCCGACCAGACUUGCCGCAAGCAGGCCAGCCCAUGGAAGCCAGUGGCUUGAUGCUCAACUUCAGCUGCUGGCAGAAAGGAGAAAAAGACAUCACCCAUCCGAAAAAUUUUAAUCCCCCAGCAAAAUACAAUACUCAAUUUUUCAUUAACCUUCUGACACCUGGACUCACAGAGUAUCCCCACACUAAUCACUAAUGGGUUUUGCAUUACCAAUUAGUGUAGCAAAUUAUCCAGCAUUGGUGCCAAAGGGUUAAUCAUUAGUUUCACACCACUGGGUGGUCAGAGUUAGAAGAGCAGCCCCUGAACCCAAAAGAGUGGAGAGUGAGGGGCUGGGGGGUGGAGAGAGCUCUCAUUAUCAAGAAGAAACAUGCAGCUCAUAGGCAUUGACCUCCGUAUCUCUCUCCUGGCAUCUUGCCUCAAGGUGGAUUUAAGUAUUAUACAAGUAUGCACGUGUGCACACACAUGCAUACAUGUUUAGACACAGUUCUGGGCCCAGAACAAAUCACCAACCUAGCCAGUUUCUAUUGAGUCUGUCCCAUCAAAGGUAGAUCAGGCCAGAGGAAUUCUCUCUCUCUCUCUCUCUCUCUCUCUCAGCACCUCUGUCUAUUUGCUUCUCUAAGCAAUGACUUUCCCAUGGGAAUGAAAAAAUUUGCCAUUUCAGAGGGAGCUGGGUUUUGAGAAGUGUUUGAUCUCUCUUAAGAGAUACUUCUCUGAAGUUCUGCCAACCCUCGAUUAUCUGUACAAAUGAGGCUUACAGAAAGUAUGGAAAGAUUCGAUUCACAGAUAAUCUUCAAACUCCGGUUUGGUCUAUAUUUUAGUUUCUUUCUGAACAAAUUGUACCAGAGCAAUUAACAAACAAAACUGAUUGGAUGUUUCCUUUCUCCUUU
Long non-coding RNA from Lynx canadensis (Canada lynx), 1438 nucleotides. RefSeq lists it as uncharacterized. Lineage: Eukaryota; Metazoa; Chordata; Mammalia; Carnivora; Felidae. The record is from RefSeq and is a predicted model, not a curated record. The transcript has 4 exons.